GGUGGUUCUAGGAUUAUGCACCCCCGAAUCGGGCUCCCUAUUCUCUGGUUCCGGAGUGCGUGACCCAAGAACCGCU
This is a non-coding RNA of Myotis lucifugus (little brown bat), 76 nucleotides long. The record is from Rfam. Lineage: Eukaryota; Metazoa; Chordata; Mammalia; Chiroptera; Vespertilionidae.